RNAcentral lists this ribosomal RNA (253 nucleotides) under uncultured bacterium. RNAcentral describes it as "partial 16S ribosomal RNA". It matches the Rfam family "Bacterial small subunit ribosomal RNA", at positions 524 to 776 of the family's 1533-position model. The record is from RNAcentral.
UACGUAGGUGGCAAGCGUUGUCCGGAUUUACUGGGCGUAAAGGGAGCGUAGGUGGAUAUUUAAGUGGGAUGUGAAAUACUCGGGCUUAACCUGAGUGCUGCAUUCCAAACUGGAUAUCUAGAGUGCAGGAGAGGAAAGUAGAAUUCCUAGUGUAGCGGUGAAAUGCGUAGAGAUUAGGAAGAAUACCAGUGGCGAAGGCGACUUUCUGGACUGUAACUGACACUGAGGCUCGAAGGCGUGGGGAGCAAACAGG